UGGGGAANUUUCCGCAAUGGGCGAAAGCCUGACGGAGCAAUACCGCGUGAGGGAGGAAUGCCUUUGGGUUGUAAACCUCUUUUCUCAGGGAAGAAGAUCUGACGGUACCUGAGGAAUAAGUAUCGGCUAACUCCGUGCCAGCAGCCGCGGUAAUACGGAGGAUGCAAGCGUUAUCCGGAAUCAUUGGGCGUAAAGCGUCCGCAGGUGGUUUCCAAAGUCUGCUGUUAGAGACUGGAGCUCAACUCCGGAACGGCGGUGGAAACUUGGAAACUAGAGUUCGGUAGGGGUAGCAGGAAUUCCCAGUGUAGCGGUGAAAUGCGUAGAUAUUGGGAAGAACAUCGGUGGCGAAGGCGUGCUACUGGACCGUAACUGACACUCAGGGACGAAAGCUAGGGGAGCGAAAGGGAUUAGAUACCCCUGUAGUCCUAGCUGUAAACGAUGGAAACUAGGUGUGGCUUGA
RNAcentral lists this ribosomal RNA (460 nucleotides) under uncultured marine microorganism. RNAcentral describes it as "bacterial SSU rRNA". It matches the Rfam family "Bacterial small subunit ribosomal RNA", at positions 355 to 830 of the family's 1533-position model. The record is from RNAcentral.